UACGUAGGGUCCGAGCGUUGUCCGGAAUUAUUGGGCGUAAAGGGUUCGUAGGCGGUUUGUCGCGUCGGGAGUGAAAACACGGGGCUUAACCCCGUGCCUGCUUCCGAUACGGGCAGACUAGAGGUAUGCAGGGGAGAACGGAAUUCCUGGUGUAGCGGUGAAAUGCGCAGAUAUCAGGAGGAACACCGGUGGCGAAGGCGGUUCUCUGGGCAUUACCUGACGCUGAGGAGCGAAAGUGUGGGGAGCGAACAGG
RNAcentral lists this ribosomal RNA (253 nucleotides) under uncultured bacterium. RNAcentral describes it as "partial 16S ribosomal RNA". It matches the Rfam family "Bacterial small subunit ribosomal RNA", at positions 524 to 776 of the family's 1533-position model. The record is from RNAcentral.